CAGCCGCCGCGGUAAUACGAAGGGGGCUAGCGUUGCUCGGAAUGACUGGGCGUAAAGGGCGCGUAGGCGGCGAUCAAAGUCAGGCGUGAAAUUCCUGGGCUCAACCUGGGGGCUGCGCUUGAUACUUGGUUGCUUGAGUGGGGAAGAGGGUCGUGGAAUUCCCAGUGUAGAGGUGAAAUUCGUAGAUAUUGGGAAGAACACCGGUGGCGAAGGCGGCGACCUGGUCCUUGACUGACGCUGAGGCGCGAAAGCGUGGGGAGCAAACAGGAUUAGAUACCCGCGUAGUCCCUGUCUCUUAUAC
Molecule: ribosomal RNA, 301 nt
Filed under: uncultured bacterium
Lineage: Bacteria
Description: partial 16S ribosomal RNA
Rfam family: Bacterial small subunit ribosomal RNA
Source: RNAcentral